AUUGAACGCUGGCGGCAGGCCUAACACAUGCAAGUCGAGCGGAUGACAGGAGCUUGCUCCUGAAUUCAGCGGCGGACGGGUGAGUAAUGCCUAGGAAUCUGCCUGGUAGUGGGGGACAACGUUUCGAAAGGAACGCUAAUACCGCAUACGUCCUACGGGAGAAAGCAGGGGACCUUCGGGCCUUGCGCUAUCAGAUGAGCCUGCGUAGGAUUAGCUAGUUGGUAGGGUAAAGGCCUACCAAGGCGACGAUCCUUAACUGGUCUGAGAGGAUGAUCAGUCACACUGGAACUGAGACACGGUCCAGACUCCUACGGGUGGCAG
RNAcentral lists this ribosomal RNA (321 nucleotides) under uncultured Pseudomonadota bacterium. Its description in RNAcentral is "bacterial SSU rRNA". It matches the Rfam family "Bacterial small subunit ribosomal RNA", at positions 30 to 351 of the family's 1533-position model. The record is from RNAcentral. Lineage: Bacteria; Pseudomonadati; Pseudomonadota.